AUAAAAUAUUAGGCUUCUAUGCCUUCUCUCCAUCUCAAUUCUCUCCAUAAUCUAUUUAGUUUACAACACGUUAUCAGCACGAAUUCGCUUUCAAAUAUACCAACUAAAAUCUCUGAUGAAACCCAGAUUCUUUCCCCUACCUUCCUCCCUCUCUUGCCAUUUCUUCAGCUUUCCUUGUAUGUCUCCGUGUUAGAGAGAGAGAGGGAGAUAAUAGAAAAUUGUCAAGCAAUUGAUGCAGCAAUUUUGGUUAUCAACAUCCAAGUGGGAAAGAAAGAAAAAAAAAAAAAAAAUUUGGUCUGUGAGUGCAAGUGAGAUCACGAAGACCAAUCCUAGCCACUAUGUUGAUCUGCUCAUCUCCACCACCAUGUGCCCCUCCAAUCCUAACAAAAAUAGUGAUAAAAUAAUAAAACCCCUUUACGCCAUGUAAAUAUCCUGGGAGGCAGGUGGCCUUCCAUGUAAAUGAAGGUUCAACAAAUUUUGGCUAUCACUUCUGGUAGAGUUUGAGGAUGGAGAUGGCGACGUUGGAUCAAUGCAUAUAAGACCAGUCAACUAAUGCUCUUGUUCUUGGCCAAGUUUACAAGCUCAACACCACUCAAGAGGUGAUGAAGGGUUUAUGGGCAAAGAAGCAAGCAAAGGUGAAGAGAAGCAACUCAAACAAGGUGGAAGCAUAGUAGCCACAGAAGAGGGAAGAGAUAGUGUUCUGCACUUUGGUAUUGAUAGAACCCACCGAAAGAAUAGAGAACCCACUAAAAAAAAAUAAUAAGUCCUCUGCUUCCUUAUCUUUCAAUUACUUUAGUAUUAUCCUACACUAUUUAACUUGCUCUGCAGGAGGAAAGGCAGUAGCAAGCUUGAUAUCCAUCACUUUUUGCAUAUUUUAUAUAAUAUGCUAUAUAGCUAGUAUAUUAGUAUAAUAAGAUUAUAUUAUUUCAUCAUGGUUUUGAGAGGAAUCUAUCAAAAAAAAAAAAAAAUUUCUUGCAAGUAAAGGUGUGCAGGAGGAGCUUGUGCAGGUUCGUCCACUUUGUUCGUGAAAUUAUCACUCAAGGAAGCAGACAAACGUGAAUGCAAACUAGCACUAAGGUUUGUCUCUACUUUUCAUUUCCUCUAGUAUUGAGAGGAACCCACGAAAAAAGAGAGAAGGGAUAUUCAGGUUGACAGCCCAUGAUAUAUAAUAUUAAUAUGAAAAGUUUAUGGUAAUAUAAUACACUAUAUUUAUUUGCUUUCCAAUUACUAAUUAAUAAAAAUGAACGGUUUCACCUCUUAUAUUUUUAGUGGUGGUUUUUAUUCCCACAUUUAUUUUAUUUACUGUAUGGUGUAGGUUUAUUACCCAUACAACAAUAUCUAUUUAAAAGGGUGGUGCGGGUUUAUCAUCCACGCCUUUACUUUUAUUUAAAUGUAUGGAGCAGAAUUAGUGCCCAUACAAGCACGUUUACUUUAUCGCAAAUUUACUUUUACUUAAAGUAUGAUGUGGAAUUAACCCUCAUACUUUAUGAAUUUACUUUACCGCACAUUUAAUUUUAUUUAAGGUAUGGUGCGGGAUUAACGUCCAUACAGCAAGCAAUUUAAUUUAUGAAUUUACUUUACCGCACAUUUAAUUUUAUUUAAGGUAUGGUGCGGGAUUAACGUCCAUACAGCAAGCAAUUUAAUUUAUGAAUUUAUUUUACCGCACAUUUACAUUUAUUUAAAGUAUGGUGCGGGUUUAUCGUCCAUACCAG
This 1712-nucleotide long non-coding RNA is filed under the name Prunus dulcis (almond). RNAcentral describes it as "sRNA ncRNA". The record is from RNAcentral. Lineage: Eukaryota; Viridiplantae; Streptophyta; Magnoliopsida; Rosales; Rosaceae.